This is a long non-coding RNA of Drosophila albomicans, 315 nucleotides long. RefSeq lists it as uncharacterized. The record is from RefSeq and is a predicted model, not a curated record. Lineage: Eukaryota; Metazoa; Arthropoda; Insecta; Diptera; Drosophilidae. The transcript is spliced from 2 exons.
AAGGAGACGAGAUUUCAGGCAAAAAGUCAGUCAGCAAUUGUUUGCAGUCAAUAUCUAAAUAUGAAACUAUUCGCAAUCUUGGUCACCUUGUGCAUUAUUGGCGCCGCUUUUGCCAACAAGGGAGCAGCUGACGCAGCUAAUGCCAAUGAUGAUGAUGCAGCCAACGAUGAUGCGGAUGCCUAAUUCAUUCAUUCGAAAUCGGUAAUUUUUUUGGGAUAUGCCCUUCAAACUAAUUGGCUUUAAAUAACUAUGGACCACUUAAGCAAAAAAAAAAAUAAAAAAAAAAAAAUAAAUAAACUUUUAUAGUUCAAAAAA